Long non-coding RNA from Vicia villosa (hairy vetch), 1430 nucleotides. RefSeq lists it as uncharacterized. NCBI's taxonomy places the organism in Eukaryota, Viridiplantae, Streptophyta, Magnoliopsida, Fabales, Fabaceae. The transcript has 6 exons. The record is from RefSeq and is a predicted model, not a curated record.
UAAUUGAUUGAUUCACUCAGCCUUGAAAACAAACAAAACAUUGCUGCUUCACAUUCAUUUUUUUUCUCGAUACAAAAGCUAAUCAUUCGGGGAAGACCGAACAAACAAGCUGGUUCACUUAUCAAAUUGGUUUCUCAAUAGAAACCCCUAGAAUUCCACUCUUGAACACAAAUAACUAAAUCGUCUGUUCACUUCCAAAUGGGUUUCUCAAUGCAAACCCUUAAUUUGAAUUUCUCUUCUCCCAUUUCCGAUUCAUCUCAUCAUCAAUGUCGAUUAUUCAAUUUUCCAGGUACUUAAUUUAAAUUUUUGCUUGCAGGCUUAUGGUUCUGCAAAUCAGUUCAAAGUUGAAGUUUAAACUACGUUGAUUCCUUCGUACAAACGGCGUUGUUGCUAUGGUUAUCGUUGUUAAAAAUGAAGAAGGUGGCAAUUUUGUGUCUAUUGUUGUCUUAAGAAAAGUACUUAUAGUAUAUUUGAUGAUAUUGAAAGAGCACUUGAUGAUGGAAUGAACACUAAUAAGGCCAUGUGCAGCCGUCGUGCAGGGAUAGCCGUAUUGUGCAUGGAGCUGCUGCAACUGAAAUUGAGUUAGCUAAUAGGGUGAAAGAAUUUUCUUUCAAAACAAUAGAAUUGUAAGACCGGUUAAUGGCAGGUUCAACAAACCUCCUACCACUGAGUACCAAAGACAAAAGGUGGAAGCUUUUAGAAUUUGGUUAAGUCAAGUACAGCUCGAUAUGUUUCUUUGACAUUGAUAAACAUGAAUCUGCAAUCUUGUGUUGGUAUGGAGCUAGAACUAGAGCUGCAAAAGUUGGAAAAGGUUUGUCCAAAGACUAGAAAGCACCGAAACUUGCUCUACACUGCAACAUUGGCUCGAACUGUGUACGUAAUAGAUCAACUCACGACAUUGUUGUGGACAUAAUCUACACUUUUAUUAUGAUAAAAGGCAUCGAUUCAACAUUUUGAAUGACAACAUCACAGAAUAAUUGAAGAUUCAUUAUCUUUCUCAGCCCUCUAUCCCGCAAAAUCAUUACUUCUAAUCCUUUCAUCUUAUUCGUAGAACCUUUGUUUUGUUAUUUGUUUGGUUUUUUUUUUUACAUAUUUUAAGUCAUUACUCAUACAAGUGAUUAAAAUUGUUUGCAUUAAUGGGAAUGUGGUGCAGGUCCAAAAAAAUUAUUGGAAUAUGUGAGAUCAAGGUAAAAUAUAUUGGAGAAAGAUGUCAAACUUUCAGGUCUUUGGACUAUGUUUUUUGUCAAGUCUAAUGAAAGUUCAAGCCAGUUUUGUUUUCUUCUCCUCUUGGUGUAAUUUACUAGAAAAUUGCCCUACAUAGUUCUAAUUUUUAACGUUUAGAUUUUUUUGAUUUAAUUUGGGUUGUGUGAACUUUAAGUAACAAAGAUAUUUUUCAGUGUACUACGAUAUAAUAAUAAAGACAUAUUAUA